This 406-nucleotide ribosomal RNA is filed under the name uncultured bacterium. RNAcentral's name for it is "bacterial SSU rRNA". It matches the Rfam family "Bacterial small subunit ribosomal RNA", at positions 354 to 776 of the family's 1533-position model. The record is from RNAcentral.
GUGGGGAAUAUUGCACAAUGGGGGAAACCCUGAUGCAGCGACGCCGCGUGAGCGAUGAAGUAUUUCGGUAUGUAAAGCUCUAUCAGCAGGGAAGAAUUAGGACGGUACCUGACUAAGAAGCCCCGGCUAACUACGUGCCAGCAGCCGCGGUAAUACGUAGGGGGCAAGCGUUAUCCGGAUUUACUGGGUGUAAAGGGAGCGUAGACGGCCAUGCAAGCCAGAUGUGAAAGCCCGGGGCUCAACCCCGGGACUGCAUUUGGAACUGCGUGGCUUGAGUGUCGGAGAGGCAGGCGGAAUUCCUAGUGUAGCGGUGAAAUGCGUAGAUAUUAGGAGGAACACCAGUGGCGAAGGCGGCCUGCUGGACGAUGACUGACGUUGAGGCUCGAAAGCGUGGGGAGCAAACAGG